RNAcentral lists this transfer RNA (74 nucleotides) under Candidatus Omnitrophota bacterium. RNAcentral describes it as "Candidatus Omnitrophica bacterium tRNA-Ala". It matches the Rfam family "tRNA". From Rfam's summary of the family: Transfer RNA (tRNA) molecules are approximately 80 nucleotides in length. Lineage: Bacteria; Pseudomonadati; Candidatus Omnitrophota. The record is from RNAcentral.
GGGGCCGUGGUGAAGCGGGAUCACAUCACAAUGGCAUUGUGAGGUCACGAGUUCGAUUCUCGUCGGCUCCACCA